GAGUGUGGGCGGAGGCAGGAGGGCAGAAGAUUGUCACUUAUGACUGGCACUGAGAAUUCCUGCUGCUGAGUGCCAUGGCUGGGCCCUGGGAGAAAUCCUGGGAAUACAGAGGUGAGCAGUGAUCUCCAAGGUCAGCCUUCACAAGGCAUCAGUUUCUGGUGACUCUGCUGGGACAGAAGACAUCUGGAAACCCCCUGGAGCAGAGCAGAGGAACAUCCAGGCACCAGGAAUUUACAAAGCAUCAAGCCAGGAGCAGACAAACCCCAGAGGGGCAGAGCUGCUGCCCCUGAAGGAGUUAAUUCCCCGAGGAGUGCACUAAGUGGUCAGCAGCCCAAUAAAUUAGGGCCUGGAAAGACAAA
This is a long non-coding RNA of Haemorhous mexicanus (house finch), 359 nucleotides long. RefSeq lists it as uncharacterized. NCBI's taxonomy places the organism in Eukaryota, Metazoa, Chordata, Aves, Passeriformes, Fringillidae. The transcript is spliced from 2 exons. The record is from RefSeq and is a predicted model, not a curated record.